Molecule: ribosomal RNA, 228 nt
Filed under: uncultured Micromonas
Lineage: Eukaryota; Viridiplantae; Chlorophyta; Mamiellophyceae; Mamiellales
Description: partial Eukaryotic large subunit ribosomal RNA
Rfam family: Eukaryotic large subunit ribosomal RNA
Source: RNAcentral
UCCCCAUUCGACCCGUCUUGUAACACGGACCAAGGAGUCUGACAUGUGUGCGAGUCAACGGGCGAGUAAACCCGUAAGGCGCAAGGAAGCUGAUUGGCGGGAUCCCCUUGAGGGUUGCACCGCCGACUGACCUUGAUCUUCUGAGAAGGGUUCGAGUGAGAGCAUACCUGUCGGGACCCGAAAGAUGGUGAACUAUGCCUGAGCAGGGCGAAGCCAGAGGAAACUCUG